This is a non-coding RNA of Camelina sativa (false flax), 1675 nucleotides long. The record is from RefSeq and is a predicted model, not a curated record. Lineage: Eukaryota; Viridiplantae; Streptophyta; Magnoliopsida; Brassicales; Brassicaceae.
GAUCGGCAUCGCUGGGUCUUGGUUUUUUCAUCUCCACGGCCUCAUCUUCCCUUGUAGUCUACUCGCUUCUAGUCUCAGUUCUAUCGGUGGUCCUUUGAGUUUUCAGAUCUCAUCUCCGCCUUUGCGACAGCUUCAAUCACCUUCUCCGGCUCCGCAUCUGGUUCCUCCCCUCGGUGAAUCUAUCAAAUCGAGUUCCCACCCCCUUGUCCCUGUUCGCGAGAUCCAUCAGUGUCCCUCUAGGCCCGGUUUUUGUCCGUUUCACCGCCCCAUUAAGCUGUCAAAUUUAACAUCUUACCGCUCCAUGGAUCCAGAUCCUCUCACCAAGUGCUUUGCUUGGGUGCAGUUGGACGGAAGCUCUGCUUUGACGCUGGCACCGGUGAACCGUUUGACAAAGAAACCCUCCUUCUUGGUGACCUCUGCUUCUCUCUCGAUAACUCUUUGUCCCAGGUCAUUUUCUCCACUCUCAUUCUCAAACCCUGGAAGAUAGUUUACGGUGUUUAAACUAUAAGUCAUCCCUGACCUGGAACCGCCUUAGACCCACUAGCUUUAUUUUCAUAGCAAGCCCAAAUAAUUUAAUGUCUUUGUAUCCUGCUUGGUCAAGAUAUUUCGAUUGUGUUUGAAUCUUCUUUGUGUCAAGGUCAAUUAAAGAGCUUGGUAUGGAAGUUUGCAAUGCUGCUCGUUGAUAAUGUUUUUGCCUUGCCAAUCGGUUUACCGCUAUUGCUUGCUCUCCCUGAUCCUUUAGCAUACAUAUUACCAAUAGCUCCACUGCUUCAGUGUCAACUUGUAACUAGGUCUAGUCUGAAUCGCUCUUGUUGGGUCUGUAAUGGGGGCUUUAGAAAUCUGUUCGUUUACCACUCCCCAUUAACCCCAUAUGACGAAUUCAACCACCUCUUCCCCCUAGCUGAUACAUCUCUGAUCUUAAUGUGUCUUAGAUUGCUGAAAAUUCUAUUUACCUCAAUCCCUUUAGGCCUUCUUGUCUCUGUUUUGACUGGUGCAAAACACCACGGUAGCAUAGCAAAAGACCUUCUAGGAUGGCUAGAUAGAUACUUUUGUCAAGUUCAGAUGGAAACAUUGUAUCACGCCCCACUUGAACCCUCCAGCCCCUUGUCUAACCACUCGUCCAAAGCUCUGAAGCUCGGGUCAGAUCUCUUAUCUCAAUGUCAAGCUGACUACAAGCUUUAUGUGGAAGUCCUUAACCUCCAUGGCUUUUGGUUUCAUGUGAGGGAGGACCCACCUGCUUUGUUAUAGUUUUACAUUCAUUAUUUGCGUUUCCCGGUCGUAGCUUCAUCUAGAGCCUUGAGUUUUGCUCGUGAAAGUAUGAGGGACUUUGAUCCAAUGCUUGUGAACCUUCUCUUGAUGGCGAGGAACCCUACUUGUGUCCCAUCAGUGGAACACUUUUUCAAAAGCUCUUAUGCAUUUCUUGCGCGAGCCGUUUAUGACCAUUUUUUGGUCGAGGAUGUCGAGAAGCCUGUCUUCAUGUUCGAAUCCUCCUUGGCCCCAACAGUUUUCUCAAAGAUUGCAAGCCUUUCAAAGUUGAGCAUCACCUUGGAAAAUUCAUGGAGCCCUUAACUUUUCUUUUCCCGUUGUAUUGUUUUUGCUUCAAGUUGUAUGAACUGUCCUUUUUGAGGUUUUAAUUUGAAUGAAAAUCUUGUUUGACCAAAAAAAAAAAAAAAGA